UUCCGGUUGAUCCUGCCGGAGGCCAUUGCUAUCGGAGUUCGAUUUAGCCAUGCUAGUCGCACGGGUUUAGACCCGUGGCGAAAAGCUCAGUAACACGUGGCCAAACUACCCUAUAGAUCGGAAUAACCUCGGGAAACUGAGGCUAAUGCCGAAUACCGCUCCUGCACUGGGAUGUGCGGAGCUCGAAACGCUCCGGCGCUAUAGGAUGUGGCUGCGGCCGAUUAGGUUGACGGUGGGGUAACGGCCCACCGUGCCUAUAAUCGGUACGGGUUGUGAGAGCAAGAGCCCGGAGACGGUAUCUGAGACAAGAUACCGGGCCCUACGGGGCGCAGCAGGCGCGAAAACUUUACACUGCACGAGAGUGCGAUAAGGGAACUCCGAGUGCGAGGGCAUAGAGCCCUCGCUUUUGUACACCGUAAGGUGGUGUACGAAUAAGGGCUGGGCAAGACCGGUGCCAGCCGCCGCGGUAAUACCGGCAGCCCAAGUGAUGGCCGAUAUUAUUGGGCCUAAAGCGUCCGUAGCUGGCCGGACAAGUCCGUUGGGAAAUCCGCGCGCUCAACGCGCGGGCGUCCAGCGGAAACUGUCCGGCUUGGGGCCGGAAGACCUGAGGGGUACGUCCGGGGUAGGAGUGAAAUCCUGUAAUCUCGGACGGACCGCCUGUGGCGAAAGCGCCUCAGGAAGACGGACCCGACAGUGAGGGACGAAAGCCAGGGUCUCGAACCGGAUUAGAUACCCGGGUAGUCCUGGCUGUAAACGAUGUCCGCUAGGUGUGGCGCAGGCUACGAGCCUGCGCUGUGCCGUAGGGAAGCCGUGAAGCGGACCGCCUGGGAAGUACGUCUGCAAGGAUGAAACUUAAAGGAAUUGGCGGGGGAGCACUACAACCGGAGGAGCCUGCGGUUUAAUUGGAUUCAACGCCGGG
Molecule: ribosomal RNA, 919 nt
Filed under: uncultured archaeon
Lineage: Archaea
Description: bacterial SSU rRNA
Rfam family: Archaeal small subunit ribosomal RNA
Source: RNAcentral